RNAcentral lists this transfer RNA (82 nucleotides) under Echinostoma caproni. It matches the Rfam family "tRNA". Rfam says of the family: Transfer RNA (tRNA) molecules are approximately 80 nucleotides in length. Their secondary structure includes four short double-helical elements and three loops (D, anti-codon, and T loops). The record is from Rfam by way of RNAcentral. Lineage: Eukaryota; Metazoa; Platyhelminthes; Trematoda; Plagiorchiida; Echinostomatidae.
GGCCUCAUAGCUCAGCUGGUAGAGCAUGCGUGUGCAAAGCGUAGGCUGUGUCCAUGCGUGGGUUCGAAUCCUACCGAGGCUA